UCUUUUUUCAGAUUUUUCCUUAUCUUUUUCUUCUCAUUCUCACGCCAAAAUCACCAGAGAAUUAUCCAUAUGGGACGCCCCUUAUAUAGGGAAUGAAGGGGCGCCACAAAAUUCCAAAAGGGCGCCAACUCUUGGCAUCCCUUAUUCCUUACAUGCUACAUAUUUAUUUUUGCAUGGAAACCAAAGGAGUAUGGCAUGGAAUAAGAAGUGUUUUACCAGCAGAAGGACUCCUCCU
RNAcentral lists this long non-coding RNA (235 nucleotides) under Elaeis guineensis (African oil palm). RNAcentral describes it as "long non-coding RNA (EGUI_LNC081402)". Lineage: Eukaryota; Viridiplantae; Streptophyta; Magnoliopsida; Arecales; Arecaceae. The record is from RNAcentral.